This 208-nucleotide ribosomal RNA is filed under the name uncultured Acidithiobacillus sp. Its description in RNAcentral is "partial 16S ribosomal RNA". It matches the Rfam family "Bacterial small subunit ribosomal RNA", at positions 568 to 774 of the family's 1533-position model. The record is from RNAcentral. Lineage: Bacteria; Pseudomonadati; Pseudomonadota; Acidithiobacillia; Acidithiobacillales; Acidithiobacillaceae.
CGCGUAGGCGGUGAGUUACGUCUGCCGUGAAACUCCCCGGGCUCAACCUGGGAAUGGCGGUGGAAACGGGCUGACUAGAGUAUGGGAGAGGGUGAUGGAAUUCCAGGUGUAGCGGUGAAAUGCGUAGAGAUCUGGAGGAACAUCAGUGGCGAAGGCGGUCACCUGGCCCAAUACUGACGCUGAGGCGCGAAAGCGUGGGGAGCAAACA